Small nuclear RNA from Cricetulus griseus (Chinese hamster), 165 nucleotides. Its record names the gene U1. It matches the Rfam family "U1 spliceosomal RNA". Rfam says of the family: U1 is a small nuclear RNA (snRNA) component of the spliceosome (involved in pre-mRNA splicing). Its 5' end forms complementary base pairs with the 5' splice junction, thus defining the 5' donor site of an intron. There are significant differences in sequence and secondary structure between metazoan and yeast U1 snRNAs, the latter being much longer (568 nucleotides as compared to 164 nucleotides in human). The record is from Ensembl. Lineage: Eukaryota; Metazoa; Chordata; Mammalia; Rodentia; Cricetidae.
GAACUUACCUGGCAGGGGAGAUACCAUGAUCAAGUAGGUGGUUUUCCCAGGGCGAGGCCCACCCAUUGCACUCUGGAUGUGCUGACCCUGCAAUUUCCCCAAAUGCUGGAAACUCGACUGCAUAAUUUGUGAUAGUGGGGGGGAGUGCAUUCAAGCUCUCCCCUG